AGAUUUGAUGGAGUCUCGAUCUAAGGAGAUGACGGCGAAAGAAGUCGUCGGAGGAGAAGGAGAAGUUGACUACAUAGUAAACCUUAUGAGAAUUACAGCUUAUACCCAUACCAAAGGAAUUUCCCUUUAAUUAGUUGAUAUGUUUGCGGCCGAACACUUCACCAUCGACAUCAACACCAUCACCAUCACCGAUUCUACUUCUUCUACAAUCGACGGAUCCAAAAGGGAGCACAUACUCUCGUCUCGCAAUUGAUGAUGGAUUCUGGGGUCGAUGAGGCUGAAGAAGGGGAUGCGGAGGAGCAGUGACGUUGUUGUGGGGUCUAUGAACACGAAUGAGAAGCGAGGAGCAAACGGUGAGGAAAUCCCGACGAUUGUAGGUACUUGGAUGGAGGUAUCCUCCGACAGCCUCCUGUUCUUUCUUUGGUCCGGUAAUCCAACAACUAGGGGGUAUAACUGGAAAUUAUUUACCUCAAUCGAGAUUGAGUUUAUCUCGAUUUUGAUUCAAGAUCGAGAUUGUGUUCAUCAUCUUAUUAAAUUCGAUUUCUUCAAUGGUUUAUUUCUGUUCAAUUGAAGAAAUAUUCUGAUACAACUUGCACUUCACAGUCAUAAGUUGGAUUUUGUUUCGAAAAAGUCAAAAUUUGUGUUCAUAUUUCUAAAUCGAUAAUGUAAAUGUGUGUUUGUUUCUUGAAUUCAUGAAUGGGAAUGAAUGCAUAUGUGUGUUGAUGAUUCAA
Molecule: long non-coding RNA, 731 nt
Organism: Lactuca sativa (garden lettuce)
Lineage: Eukaryota; Viridiplantae; Streptophyta; Magnoliopsida; Asterales; Asteraceae
Source: RefSeq, a predicted model, not a curated record